AAAAGAGAAUCAUUGAGGGUGAGAAUCCUGUUUGUCAUCUGCGGUCCUCCAUGCACAGCAUGCUUUCUAAGAGUCACGUUCCUCGGGAUUGGAGCGCAAACUGGGUGGUAAAUUUCAUCUCAAGCUAAAUAUGGGUUUGAGACCGAUAGCAAACAAGUACCAUGAGGGAAAGAUGAAAAGGACUUUGAAAAGAGAGUUAAAAGUGCCUGAACUUGCUGAAAGGAAAGCGGAUGGAACCAGUCCUGCUUGGUGAGAUUGUUGUGCGCCAAAGCGAUUGCUCGCAACAUCAGCGCAAGCGGUGCUGUGAGUCUUGAGCUGGCCGUGCGCGAUGCUUCUUGUCUUGUGCGUCAUCAACGUUUUGCAGGUGAGGACAACUCUUGAUACAUGGUAGCUUGCCUCUGGGCGAGUGAAUAUGUCUUGUAGAACUCACCUGCAGAAUGUAUCUCAAUGUGAGGUUGCGUUGCUGUGUGUCUGGGCACCAGGAGCGCUGCAUGCUUGCAAUUCUCCCUUGCUCCCUCAGCGCCUCCCUUGCAACUACAUGGUGACCAAAUGGUUCCAUUCGACCCGUCUUG
Molecule: ribosomal RNA, 572 nt
Filed under: Gymnodinium sp. 2 AR-2015
Lineage: Eukaryota; Dinophyceae; Gymnodiniales; Gymnodiniaceae
Description: LSU rRNA
Rfam family: Eukaryotic large subunit ribosomal RNA
Source: RNAcentral